RNAcentral lists this transfer RNA (76 nucleotides) under Methanobrevibacter curvatus. It matches the Rfam family "tRNA". Rfam says of the family: Transfer RNA (tRNA) molecules are approximately 80 nucleotides in length. Lineage: Archaea; Methanobacteriati; Methanobacteriota; Methanobacteria; Methanobacteriales; Methanobacteriaceae. The record is from Rfam by way of RNAcentral.
GGGCCUGUGGUCUAGUCUGGAAUAUGAUGCGGGACUUCGGAUCCCGAGAUCGGGGGUUCAAAUCCCCUCAGGUCCG